Molecule: long non-coding RNA, 1329 nt
Organism: Ficedula albicollis (Collared flycatcher)
Lineage: Eukaryota; Metazoa; Chordata; Aves; Passeriformes; Muscicapidae
Exons: 3
Source: RefSeq, a predicted model, not a curated record
GGCCCUGGCAGGGGCUCUGAGCUCUCCCUGGAGCCUUCUCCUCUCCAGGGGAACAUUCUCAGCCUGUGCUAAACUAGCACAGACCCACUGCCCACCUCCCCGACCAAGGGAUGUGCAAUUUGUCUUUACCACUAAGGAAAAUGAUGUAAUGCCUCUGGAUGUUGGAGCAACCCAAGUUUCACAUCAAGGAUAUGACAAGGGCGCUUUCUAGCCUGCCCUGCUGGACAUUCGGGGCCUACCAGAGCCCAGGGUUCACCACGUGAGACGUGACAUUGGCCAGCAGAGGGGAUUUGCCAGCAGACUGCUUUGAAGUGCCCAGGAACUGGAGUCAUCUCCUUCCUUGGAUGCAGGCUUCACCUGCUCUACCUGCGGCUGUCCUUGGGCAUCCCUAGCCAUGGCUAUCUCCAGGCUGAUCAUUCACAAAUCUCCAUACUCUGCUCUCCCCCUGCAGCUGUGCUCCAGAUCCCUCUGCUCCCAGCACUGCUUUGAUGGGUACGUACUCAGAAAGGAGUGUGGUUUUUUUUCUCGGCCAUGCCACAUCCCAAGCUGUGUGCCAGAUCCAUGCUCUCCCUGGGUGGUGUUCUCAUGCAAAAUUCAACAUCCACUCUGUCCACUGCUUUACAAUCCUCAGUCCUCACAUCUCACCUGCUAUAGCCUCCUCCUUGAACAUCCUUCAUGUCUUCAGUGGCCUUCUUUGGCUCACAGGAGAGAAAAUAACCUUAAUUGUCACCACUUCUGGCCACCAUGAACAGCGCAGCCAUCCACCUCGUUCGCUCCAAGUUCCCUGCUGCUUUUUUUUCCUUGUGCUUACCUUUGAAGGCUGCAGUGGCUGCUUGUCACCACCCUGGUCCUCCUCACCUCCUGUUCCUUUUACAGUCCAACGGUUCUCCCCAGCUGUCCCGUCUUCAGGUAUGGACAUGGUUUCCUUUUCGUUUGUCCUGGUUGACACCCUCAUUUUUUUCCUGCCCCAUUGGAAACUCACAGAACACUUGAUGAGCAAACCUAAUCUGAUUUCCAGCGGCCGUGGGAGGGGUUUCAGGACCGGAGGCUAUGGGAGCUCCCUAGCUGCUUGGUUUCGGCUUUCAGGCUCCACCAGCGGGAGAAGGAGCAGGCAGUCGCAGCUGCACUGUGAGCACCAGCCCCUGGCUUUGUCAUGAGUUUCAACAGGUACGGCAUUUCCAUUUUGCCAACCACAUUGCUAACAGCCACCAAAGUGCCAGCCCAUGCUGAAGAAUUCAUUUUCUGCCUCAGUUUCCUGACAAGCCAUGCUGAGAAAACCUCACGUCUUUUCCUACAAGUUUCAAGAUGCUUCAAAAAUUCUUUUUUACA